ACUCCGAGGAGAUAUCAGUCGGUAGAGGAGAAGUCGAGGUUAGAGGGAACUGGGAGGCACUUUGCUGUCUGCAGUCGAAGUUGAG
Molecule: small RNA, 85 nt
Filed under: Pan troglodytes (chimpanzee)
Lineage: Eukaryota; Metazoa; Chordata; Mammalia; Primates; Hominidae
Description: processed transcript
Source: RNAcentral